AGUGAACGCUGGCGGUAGGCCUAACACAUGCAAGUCGAACGGCAGCACAGUAAGAGCUUGCUCUUACGGGUGGCGAGUGGCGGACGGGUGAGGAAUACAUCGGAAUCUACUUUUUCGUGGGUGAUAACGUAGGGAAACUUACGCUAAUACCGCAUACGACCUACGGGUGAAAGCAGGGGAUCUUCGGACCUUUCGCGAUUGAAUGAGCCGAUGUCGGAUUAGCUAGUUGGCGGGGUAAAGGCCCACCAAGGCGACGAUCCGUAGCUGGUCUGAGAGGAUGAUCAGCCACACUGGAACUGAGACACGGUCCAGACUCCUACGGGAGGCAGCAGUGGGGAAUAUUGGACAAUGGGCGCAAGCCUGAUCCAGCAAUACCGCGUGGGUGAAGAAGGCCUUCGGGUUGUAAAGCCCUUUUGUUGGGAAAGAAAAGCAGCAGGUUAAUACCCCGCUGUUCUGACGGUACCCAAAGAAUAAGCACCGGCUAACUUCGUG
This 492-nucleotide ribosomal RNA is filed under the name uncultured bacterium. RNAcentral's name for it is "partial 16S ribosomal RNA". It matches the Rfam family "Bacterial small subunit ribosomal RNA", at positions 29 to 507 of the family's 1533-position model. The record is from RNAcentral.